CAGUAGCCGCGGUAAUACGAAGGUCCCGAGCGUUGUUCGGAAUCACUGGGCGUAAAGGGAGCGUAGGCGGCGUGUUAAGUCAGAUGUGAAAUCCCGGGGCUCAACCCCGGAACUGCAUCCGAUACUGCCAUGCUAGAGGAUUGGAGAGGUAGCUGGAAUUCUUGGUGUAGCAGUGAAAUGCGUGGAGAUCAAGAGGAACACUCGUGGCGAAAGCGAGCUACUGGACAAUAACUGACGCUGAGGCUCGAAGGCCAGGGUAGCGAAAGGGAUUAGAUACCCGAGUAGUCCCUGUCUCUUAUAA
Molecule: ribosomal RNA, 301 nt
Filed under: uncultured bacterium
Lineage: Bacteria
Description: partial 16S ribosomal RNA
Rfam family: Bacterial small subunit ribosomal RNA
Source: RNAcentral